RNAcentral lists this ribosomal RNA (959 nucleotides) under uncultured Actinomycetes bacterium. RNAcentral describes it as "bacterial SSU rRNA". It matches the Rfam family "Bacterial small subunit ribosomal RNA", at positions 364 to 1336 of the family's 1533-position model. Lineage: Bacteria; Bacillati; Actinomycetota; Actinomycetes. The record is from RNAcentral.
UUGCACAAUGGGCGAAAGCCUGAUGCAGCGACGCCGCGUGAGGGAUGACGGCCUUCGGGUUGUAAACCUCUUUCAGCAGGGACGAAGCGAAAGUGACGGUACCUGCAGAAGAAGCACCGGCCAACUACGUGCCAGCAGCCGCGGUAAUACGUAGGGUGCGAGCGUUGUCCGGAAUUACUGGGCGUAAAGAGCUCGUAGGCGGUUUGUCGCGUCGUCCGUGAAAACUUGGGGCUCAACCCCAAGCUUGCGGGCGAUACGGGCAGACUUGAGUACUGCAGGGGAGACUGGAAUUCCUGGUGUAGCGGUGAAAUGCGCAGAUAUCAGGAGGAACACCGGUGGCGAAGGCGGGUCUCUGGGCAGUAACUGACGCUGAGGAGCGAAAGCGUGGGUAGCGAACAGGAUUAGAUACCCUGGUAGUCCACGCCGUAAACGGUGGGCGCUAGGUGUGGGUCCCUUCCACGGGAUCCGUGCCGUAGCUAACGCAUUAAGCGCCCCGCCUGGGGAGUACGGCCGCAAGGCUAAAACUUAAAGGAAUUGACGGGGGCCCGCACAAGCGGCGGAGCAUGUGGAUUAAUUCGAUGCAACGCGAAGAACCUUACCUGGGUUUGABAUAUACCGGAAAGCCGUAGAGAUACGGCCCCCCUUGUGGUCGGUAUACAGGUGGUGCAUGGCUGUCGUCAGCUCGUGUCGUGAGAUGUUGGGUUAAKUCCCGCAACGAGCGCAACCCUUGUCCUGUGUUGCCAGCGCGUAAUGGCGGGGACUCGCAGGAGACUGCCGGGGUCAACUCGGAGGAAGGUGGGGACGACGUCAAGUCAUCAUGCCCCUUAUGUCCAGGGCUUCACACAUGCUACAAUGGCCGGUACAGAGGGCUGCGAUACCGUGAGGUGGAGCGAAUCCCUUAAAGCCGGUCUCAGUUCGGAUCGGGGUCUGCAACUCGACCCCGUGAAGUCGGAGUCGCU